UAGGGAAUCUUCGGCAAUGGACGAAAGUCUGACCGAGCAACGCCGCGUGAGUGAAGAAGGUUUUCGGAUCGUAAAACUCUGUUGUUAGAGAAGAACAAGGACGUUAGUAACUGAACGUCCCCUGACGGUAUCUAACCAGAAAGCCACGGCUAACUACGUGCCAGCAGCCGCGGUAAUACGUAGGUGGCAAGCGUUGUCCGGAUUUAUUGGGCGUAAAGCGAGCGCAGGCGGUGUCUUAAGUCUGAUGUGAAAGCCCCCGGCUCAACCGGGGAGGGUCAUUGGAAACUGGGAGACUUGAGUGCAGAAGAGGGGAGUGGAAUUCCAUGUGUAGCGGUGAAAUGCGUAGAUAUAUGGAGGAACACCAGUGGCGAAGGCGGCUCUCUGGUCUGUAACUGACGCUGAGGCUCGAAAGCGUGGGGAGCAAACAGG
This 429-nucleotide ribosomal RNA is filed under the name Gemmatimonadota bacterium. Its description in RNAcentral is "Gemmatimonadetes bacterium partial 16S ribosomal RNA". It matches the Rfam family "Bacterial small subunit ribosomal RNA", at positions 355 to 776 of the family's 1533-position model. Lineage: Bacteria; Pseudomonadati; Gemmatimonadota. The record is from RNAcentral.